RNAcentral lists this ribosomal RNA (81 nucleotides) under Cyphellostereum phyllogenum. Its description in RNAcentral is "partial 5.8S ribosomal RNA". It matches the Rfam family "5.8S ribosomal RNA", at positions 78 to 154 of the family's 154-position model. Rfam says of the family: 5.8S ribosomal RNA (5.8S rRNA) is a component of the large subunit of the eukaryotic ribosome. It is transcribed by RNA polymerase I as part of the 45S precursor that also contains 18S and 28S rRNA. Lineage: Eukaryota; Fungi; Basidiomycota; Agaricomycetes; Agaricales; Hygrophoraceae. The record is from RNAcentral.
AAUUCAGUGAAUCACUCGAAUCAUUUGAACGCACCUUGCGCCCCUUGGUAUUCCGAGGGGCAUGUCUGUUUGAGUGUCAUC